GGAGGGUUAGCUCAGUGAUAAAGUGCAUGACUAGAUAAUGCAUGAAGUCCUGGGUUCAAUCCCCAGUACUUCCC
Molecule: transfer RNA, 74 nt
Filed under: Camelus ferus (Wild Bactrian camel)
Lineage: Eukaryota; Metazoa; Chordata; Mammalia; Artiodactyla; Camelidae
Rfam family: tRNA
About the family: Transfer RNA (tRNA) molecules are approximately 80 nucleotides in length. Their secondary structure includes four short double-helical elements and three loops (D, anti-codon, and T loops). Further hydrogen bonds mediate the characteristic L-shaped molecular structure. tRNAs have two regions of fundamental functional importance: the anti-codon, which is responsible for specific mRNA codon recognition, and the 3' end, to which the tRNAs corresponding amino acid is attached (by aminoacyl-tRNA synthetases). tRNAs cope with the degeneracy of the genetic code in two manners: having more than one tRNA (with a specific anti-codon) for a particular amino acid; and 'wobble' base-pairing, i.e. permitting non-standard base-pairing at the 3rd anti-codon position.
Source: Rfam by way of RNAcentral